UUUUCAUCUUUCUCAAAUUUCUUUCACUCUUCUCAAUCUCAUCACUUUCUUCCCUCUCUUCUUCGACAGCUGCCGCCACCACCACCAGCAUACAUCAGAUUCUUCCAUCCCUGUCGUCGUCGUCAGUUUCUUCCAUCCCUUUUUGAAUAUUGCUCACAAACCAAGAGAUUUGGGACCGAUCUUGCACAAAAACCCGUCGGAACAUCGCUACCUUGUCGGAACAUCGCUACCUUGUCGUAAGAUCAGCCCCGACGCCAGUCGGGACAUCUGUACCCCUUUAUCGAUUUAUUCUCAAUCUCGUAAUUUAUUGAAGUCGCACGCACUGUAAGCCUUCCUCGUGGCCUGCUCCACGACCAAGAGAAAGAAGCCUAACCCUGAAGCUUAUCAAAUGCCUGCUAUUGUAGUUUCCAUAAAACUAUUGGCAUGGAUGAGGAAGUAUCCAUAUCCAAGCAUCCUAUGAUCAAUCAUUUGGACGUUAGGAAUGCAUCAUUUUCUGUCAAAAGAUUUCCAAGAAGGUUGUUCUCACAUUUCAUUGGUUUCUAUCCCAUCUUGUUAUAUGCAUAUCCUAGUUUCGGUGCACCAAUGAUGGAAAUGCAAGAACCUGACAUAGUUCGGACACUAAAGCUUGACAGUGGAGUUAGGAUUCAAGAAGUUUUUGAGGGAGAUGGAGCAGAAGCACAUGAAGGAGACAUGGUGGAGUUCAAUUAUGUCUGCAGGCGUUCAAAUGGAUAUUUUGUUCAUAGCACCGUUGAUCAAUUCAGUGGAGAAAGCACACCAGUAAUCCUGCCUUUGAAAGAAAAACAGGUUUCGGCUGCGAGGACUUGCAAUUGUAUAUUUGUAUAUAUUUUUUGCUUCAGCAAAGGCAGCGUGACAUUGAGUUUAGGAAAUCUGAUAAUGAACAGAGAUAGAGCCAUAAGAACAACCAAGAGAUAUAUUGUUCUCUUAUCUAUGUAAUCAAGCAAAUCACAAGCACCAAAUAAUAUGUAGGAAAUUGAUGGUUCAAGUUCAAGCUUCAGUCAACUGUUUGGAAUUGAAGUUUAACAAGGAUCUACCUUCCGCAUUGCGCAAUAAAAGUUAUGUUUGGUAACCAACCCUUUACUUUAUUAAUUAGUAAUCAAAUGUGAAUAUUUCUACUAGCAACUAAGUCAUAACAUUGUUACUUAAUUGAACCUUCUUGAUGUCUUUUACAGGGAGCUAUCACUAAACAAAUGACUGCAAUAGAAGAAAUAGUUGCAAGUGAGUACAAUUAGCCAGACCCUCAUCUUUGUGACAAGAUCUUGAAGUUGGUCAUUUGUGAAGCGUUCUAGUUUACUAUUAGUUGCAGUUUUAGUUAUUGCUCUCUCAAUAUAUUCUUUUUCUUUCUUUUUUUUCCCCCAAAGGAUGAUCAGUGUAAUAAUUAAACUUCAUAAUUUCUUUGUGUUUGGAGCAAGUUGUAUAUAAAUGUACACAUUAUUAAGAUUUUAUUUUGUAUAUGUACAAGUAAAAGAUUUCAUUUUUAACUA
Molecule: RNA transcript, 1502 nt
Organism: Cucumis melo (muskmelon)
Lineage: Eukaryota; Viridiplantae; Streptophyta; Magnoliopsida; Cucurbitales; Cucurbitaceae
Gene name: peptidyl-prolyl cis-trans isomerase FKBP16-1, chloroplastic-like
Exons: 9
Source: RefSeq, a predicted model, not a curated record